ACAUACGACCAUAGCCUGCGGAAAAUACGGGGUCCCGUCUGCUCCCCCUUAGUCAAGCCGCAGAGCGCUGGAUUA
This is a ribosomal RNA of Thielaviopsis punctulata, 75 nucleotides long. The record is from Rfam. NCBI's taxonomy places the organism in Eukaryota, Fungi, Ascomycota, Sordariomycetes, Microascales, Ceratocystidaceae.